Molecule: ribosomal RNA, 615 nt
Filed under: uncultured yeast
Lineage: Eukaryota; Fungi
Description: eukaryotic LSU rRNA
Rfam family: Eukaryotic large subunit ribosomal RNA
Source: RNAcentral
GCAUAUCAAUAAGCGGAGGAAAAGAAACCAACCGGGAUUGCCUUAGUAACGACGAGUGAAGCGGCAAAAGCUCAAAUUUGAAAUCUGGUACCUUCGGUGCCCGAGUUGUAAUUUGGAGAGGGCAACUUUGGGGCCGUUCCUUGUCUAUGUUCCUUGGAACAGGACGUCAUAGAGGGUGAGAAUCCCGUGUGGCGAGGAGUGCGGUUCUUUGUAAAGUGCCUUCGAAGAGUCGAGUUGUUUGGGAAUGCAGCUCUAAGUGGGUGGUAAAUUCCAUCUAAAGCUAAAUAUUGGCGAGAGACCGAUAGCGAACAAGUACAGUGAUGGAAAGAUGAAAAGAACUUUGAAAAGAGAGUGAAAAAGUACGUGAAAUUGUUGAAAGGGAAGGGCAUUUGAUCAGACAUGGUGUUUUGUGCCCUCUGCUCCUUGUGGGUAGGGGAAUCUCGCAUUUCACUGGGCCAGCAUCAGUUUUGGUGGCAGGAUAAAUCCAUAGGAAUGUAGCUUGCCUCGGUAAGUAUUAUAGCCUGUGGGAAUACUGCCAGCUGGGACUGAGGACUGCGACGUAAGUCAAGGAUGCUGGCAUAAUGGUUAUAUGCCGCCCGUCUUGAAACACGGACC